AAUGAACGCUGGCGGCAUGCCUAACACAUGCAAGUCGAACGAUACCAUCGGGUCUAGUGGCGAACGGGUGCGAAACAGGUGGGAAUCUGCCCUUAGGUUCGGAAUACCGGUUAGAAAUGACUCCUAAUACCGGAUGAUGCCGAAUACCAAAAGAUUUAUCGGAAAAGGUGGAGCCGGCGUGGGAUUAGGUAGUUGGUGGGGUAAAGGCCUACCAAGCCGACGAUCCUUAGCUUGUCUGAGAGGAUGAUCAGCAACACUGGGACUGAGACACGGCCCAGACUCCUACGGGAUGCAGGAGUGGGGGAUAUUGGAAAACGGGCGGAAGGCUGAAGCAGCUAGGCCGCGAGAGUGAUGAAGGCCUGAGGGUUGUAAAGCCCUUUUACCAGGGAUGAUAAUGACAGUACCUGGAGAAUAAGCACCGGCUAACUACGUG
RNAcentral lists this ribosomal RNA (433 nucleotides) under uncultured bacterium. RNAcentral's name for it is "partial 16S ribosomal RNA". It matches the Rfam family "Bacterial small subunit ribosomal RNA", at positions 29 to 507 of the family's 1533-position model. The record is from RNAcentral.